Unclassified non-coding RNA from Callithrix jacchus (white-tufted-ear marmoset), 293 nucleotides. It matches the Rfam family "Metazoan signal recognition particle RNA". From Rfam's summary of the family: The signal recognition particle (SRP) is a universally conserved ribonucleoprotein. It is involved in the co-translational targeting of proteins to membranes. The eukaryotic SRP consists of a 300-nucleotide 7S RNA and six proteins: SRPs 72, 68, 54, 19, 14, and 9. The record is from Ensembl. Lineage: Eukaryota; Metazoa; Chordata; Mammalia; Primates; Cebidae.
GCGGGCGUGGUUGCGUGUGCCUGUAGUCCCAGCUACUCGCGAGGCUGACGGGGGAGGAUCGCUUGAGCCCAGGAGUUCUGGGCUGUAGUGCGCUAUGCCGAUCGGGUGUCCUAAGUUCGGCAUCAAUAUGGUGACCUCCCGGGAGCGGGGGACCACCAGGUUGCUUAAGGAGGGGUGAACCGGCCCAGGUCAGAAACAGAGCAGGUCAAAACUCCUGUGCUGAUCAGUAGUGGGAUCACGCCUGUGAAUAGCCACUGCACCAGGCUGGGCAACAUAGCGAGACCCCAUCUCUA